GUCCUUCGGGACAUUUGGUCAAUUUGAAACGAUACAGGUGAGUUUUAUCAAGACUCUGAGUUCGACUUCCGCUAAUUCCCAUCAAGAGAAGAUUAGCAUGGCCCCUGCACUAAGGAUGGUAAGUUACAGUGAGAGUCGCCUGUCAAACUC
This 150-nucleotide small nuclear RNA is filed under the name Fusarium oxysporum f. sp. lycopersici 4287. Lineage: Eukaryota; Fungi; Ascomycota; Sordariomycetes; Hypocreales; Nectriaceae. The record is from RNAcentral.